Molecule: ribosomal RNA, 433 nt
Filed under: uncultured fungus
Lineage: Eukaryota; Fungi
Description: eukaryotic LSU rRNA
Rfam family: Eukaryotic large subunit ribosomal RNA
Source: RNAcentral
GACCUCGGAUCAGGUAGGAAUACCCGCUGAACUUAAGCAUAUCAAUAAGCGGAGGAAAAGAAACCAACAGGGAUUACCUCAGUAACGGCGAGUGAAGCGGUAAUAGCUCAAAUUUGAAAUCUGGCUCUUUCAGGGUCCGAGUUGUAAUUUGUAGAGGAUGUUUCGGGCACGGUUACGGUUUAAAUUUCUUGGAACAGAAUGUCAAAGAGGGUGAGAGUCCCGUCUUGAACCGAUUACUUCGUCCAUGUGAAACUCCUUCGACGAGUCGAGUUGUUUGGGAGUGCAGCUCAAAAUGGGUGGUAAAUUUCAUCUAAAGCUAAAUAUUGGCCAGAGACCGAUAGCGCACAAGUAGAGUGAUCGAAAGAUGAAAAGCACUUUGAAAAGAGAGUUAAACAGUAUGUGAAAUUGUUGAAAGGGAAGCGCUUGUAAUCAG